Molecule: unclassified non-coding RNA, 396 nt
Filed under: soil metagenome
Description: partial contains small subunit ribosomal RNA and internal transcribed spacer 1
Source: RNAcentral
UUUCCGUAGGUGAACCUGCGGAAGGAUCAUUAACACUGGGGACAGAUGGGACUGGGAGUCGGGUGUAUGCCUGCUCACAUCCCACUGUCAACUACAAACCAACCGCGAACAUGUUCUAACUUCACCCUCAUGUCUCACAUGAGGUUCACAGCAUGGGGCCGCGUCUGAAGGGCUUCGUCUCUUCAUUCACUUGCUGUAGUUCUUGGUCACUCGUGAUCCGGGGCUGCUGUCGAGGGCUUCAUCGCGCUUUUUUCUCUCUUCAACCACACCCUAACGAACUGUACUGACAAAAUGCUCUCGGUUUCACUUCGGUGCGAUCUGGUCGAGCUCGUUUGAGCUAAUCACUCAAAUGUCAUAACACAAAUACAACUCUUAACAACGGAUAUCUCGGCUGAU